UGCCAUCCAAUUUAAGUAUGUUUUAUUGCUUUCAAAACAUAUUCCAUAGACUGGUGCAAAAAUAAAUAAAUUCUCUUUCGCAACCCAGAACUCAGUGUCCCCUAUGAAUUUUCAUACAGGUCAAAAGAAAUAUG
Molecule: small nucleolar RNA, 134 nt
Organism: Chionomys nivalis (European snow vole)
Lineage: Eukaryota; Metazoa; Chordata; Mammalia; Rodentia; Cricetidae
Product: small nucleolar RNA SNORA40
Exons: 1
Source: RefSeq, a predicted model, not a curated record